Molecule: long non-coding RNA, 410 nt
Filed under: Dromaius novaehollandiae (emu)
Lineage: Eukaryota; Metazoa; Chordata; Aves; Casuariiformes; Dromaiidae
Description: lncRNA (ENSDNVG00000000602.1)
Source: RNAcentral
CAGAUUUCUGCAAAACAUUUUAUCUAUUUUGCAUAAUACAUCCCAAGCUAUUGAACAUAUGAGUGAAGAUAAAAUGUGGCAGUCAUAGCCUCAGUUUUUCUUCCCUUUUCUGGACUUUUGUAGAAGGCACACAAGUUAUGAUGAUAACUUCAGCCGUACUGUGAUCUUCAUGUUUUUAACUGCUUUCUCAGAAGCCUGAAGCCUUUUCUGCAGGACACAGCCAGGAGCUGCUCUACGUAAGGGCUGUCAUGCUGCACUGCGCUCCCACUUAUCUCCCCGCUGCUCACCCUUCUUGAAUAGCUGAAGCAUGGUGUGGAUUGCACUUGUUUCAGCAAAGAAAACUCUGCCAAGGUGAGCCCAAACUUCCAGAAAGGUCUGGACAUUUAUAUAUUCUAGGAUCAAGGGUUUUU